This 584-nucleotide ribosomal RNA is filed under the name Rhodocybe brunneoaurantiaca. RNAcentral describes it as "partial large subunit ribosomal RNA". It matches the Rfam family "Eukaryotic large subunit ribosomal RNA", at positions 74 to 652 of the family's 3401-position model. The record is from RNAcentral. Lineage: Eukaryota; Fungi; Basidiomycota; Agaricomycetes; Agaricales; Entolomataceae.
AUUCCCCUAGUAACUGCGAGUGAAGCGGGAAAAGCUCAAAUUUAAAAUCUGGUAGUCGUCCUGGCUAUCCGAGUUGUAAUUUAGAGAAGUGCUAUCCGCGCUGGACCGUGUACAAGUCUCCUGGAAUGGAGCGUCAUAGAGGGUGAGAAUCCCGUCUCUGACACGGACUACCAGGGCUUUUGUGGUACGCUCUCAAAGAGUCGAGUUGUUUGGGAAUGCAGCUCUAAAUGGGUGGUAAAUUCCAUCUAAAGCUAAAUAUUGGCAAGAGACCGAUAGCGAACAAGUACCGUGAGGGAAAGAUGAAAAGAACUUUGGAAAGAGAGUUAAACAGUACGUGAAAUUGUUGAAAGGGAAACGCUUGAAGUCAGUCACGUUGGCUAGAAAUCAGCCUGGCUUUGGCUUGGUGCACUUUCUAGCUUUGACGGGCCAGCAUCAAUUUUGACUGGUGGAAAAAGGCUUGGUGGAAUGUGGCAUCUUCGGAUGUGUUAUAGCCCCUUGUCAUAUACACUGGUUGGGAUUGAGGAACUCAGCACGCCUCAGGGGUUGUGUUAAGGAUGCUGGCAUAAUGGCUUUAAUCGACCCGU